RNAcentral lists this ribosomal RNA (274 nucleotides) under uncultured bacterium. Its description in RNAcentral is "partial 16S ribosomal RNA". It matches the Rfam family "Bacterial small subunit ribosomal RNA", at positions 523 to 796 of the family's 1533-position model. The record is from RNAcentral.
AUACGGAGGGUCCAAGCGUUAUCCGGAAUCAUUGGGUUUAAAGGGUCCGCAGGCGGUCAAUUAAGUCAGAGGUGAAAGCCCAUCGCUCAACGAUGGAACUGCCUUUGAUACUGGUUGAAUUGAGUUAUACGGAAGUAGAUAGAAUAAGUAGUGUAGCGGUGAAAUGCAUAGAUAUUACUUAGAAUACCGAUUGCGAAGGCAGUCUACUACGUAUAUACUGACGCUGAGGGACAAAAGCGUGGGGAGCGAACAGGAUUAGAAACCCUUGUAGUCC